UCAAGGUGCGUCCAUCUAAAACACAUUUUUAUUUCUAUUUGUCAGUAUUCUGGGAGGGCGGGUUCUGGUAAAGUUAAGAGCACACUGGAAGGACUGACUGCUGAAACUGGAAAAACACAGACAGGGGUUGGCUGGGAAAGGAUGUAAUCCUGCCUCACAGGAGUGUCCCUUCGUAGUAGGCUCCUUACGUGAUUGCAGGUGAAUGAAUGUAUGUGUCAGAGUUCCAGCUCAUCCAGCUGUGUGACUGGCCACCUCUUCAGGGUGUACCCGCUUUCGCCCAACAUUGGGUUGUUUCCAGCAGCCCCGUGAUUCCUACAGGGAUUCAUAGGGUUCUGAAGAUGGGUGGAUGGAGGUGAGGAUGAUGAUGAAGCGGAAAAACUGACAUUUCUACUGCGAUGCUCCAUUUUUAAUGCAAUCAUAGGUUCACACCAAAGCUCAGACAACUUUCCACACUUGCAAAAAAGAAACAGAGCAUUCAAGGAAUCAAACCAAGCAGCACAGUGUGAUCGUCUUUUCCCGCAUUAGGACUAGAACUUGAGUGGAGUUUUUUUUCUUUCCUUUGCUACCCUUCCCUGGAAGAAAGUGAGAGGUCAUGUCGUGUGUUGUCAACAUUCCUCCGUGGGAAUGACUCCAAGUGCUUGGAAAACUGUCCUGGAAAGACUCCUGCUCAUGUAUCACCAAACUCUGAGUGUGUUUUUACACUCUGAGUUAAACUGAAGCGUCACUAUCAGGCUCCCAGCUGCUGCAAAGCCCCUUUCAUGAACCUUUCUCAAGAUAUUUACUCCACACAAGAGUGUGUAUGCAGCGUCUUGAAGUGUUGUGUAUAAUGACUGUUAAUGUGAUUCGUGGAUGUCUAAACUGUGUGACACUUUAAAGAGACGUCAGAUCUAAACAGUGAAUGAAGCUACUACUGAAGUUUGGUGUGAUUUAUCUCUAAAAGUACCCGCUUUGUAUGUAUGUUGCUGUUGUUUUUUCACAUGAAUGACUUUCCUUUGAAGUUUCCAAGUUACUGCAGCCAGCUCUUCAGUGCUAACAUUACCGGAUUUGUUUCUAAUAGAACGGAAAGUUCAAAGAAAGCUCACAGAGCAUGGCGUCCCUGCCUGCAAGGCCUUCUUUUCUGAGCUGCAUAAACACCUACUGUUGGUAAAACAAUCAGACAGCAACACAACCAGUACUUUUUCCAUGAUGUAAUAUUUAUAAAUUAUCAUAAUCCAUAGUUAUGUUUUGACUCUCAGAGAUUAAAUCCACCACCUGGCACUAGACGGCACACUGUCUUUAGACUUGUGUUUUCUUUUGGUGAUUUAGAAGCUUGAGAUGUUUCAAAAGUCAAAGGUGGACAGAACACCAAACAAGAUUUGACCACAUUGACUCAUGAACUGGAAUGGGAUUAUUUUGCCGAAGCUGCCUUGAUUUAUGCAGUGUCAGUAUAACAACAGGUGAUCCAUGUUUCGCCUUUGGCCUGCUGCAAACAGACAUCGCCAAGGCCAUGUGAUAAGACAAUCAGUACCGCAGCCAUGACUGUUUAUGUGCCUGCUCAUUGGUUCCUCCGUGAAAACACAUAACCGAAGGACUGCUCUGCCACUCUGUUUAUCCUGGAGAGGCAGUUUGAGGAGUUGGGGUGGCAGUUCAGAUUUUUCCUCUCUGAAUGGGUAAUCUAACCAGUUCACCAAAGAUGCCACUCCCAGAGUCUCUGAAAAUGGCAUGGCUUCCUACUCGUCAAAGGAUCUUUCACAAAUACAUUAGCUGAGUUCUUUUGCUCCUUUUUCCGAUGUUUGCUCAAGGGUGGAAGAGCUCGAUCAUUUGAGAGCUGAGAGGUGUAGGUUUGGAUCAGUUGACUUACUGGACUGACUGGCCCCUUCCCCCUCAUGUUUGAAAUAGGAAGUACCCACUAGCUCCAAGAAGCCAAAAUCCCACAGACUUCUACGGAGAAAUAAACACUCAAUCAUUCAAUUUGUCAGAAUAAUCAUUAUUGCUCUACCUUUUUUAACAUGUUCUUGUUUAUCCUUUUCAAGAUAUUUUUUCUGUAGUGCACGUUUUUCAAGUUACUGACAAUCAGAUGCCUCAAUAAAUACAGGUGGUCUCACAUUGAAUGUUUGAAAAGUUUGAUUGACAGGUACUUUCAGUGGGAGGGGUGUGGCCUUCCGACAAGCUCUGGCCAAUCACUGCUUACUGACGAUUACUAGUUCCAACAUGGCAUGGCACAUGUCAUGAAAAAGUGGUGUCUGAAUUAAAAAACCUUUUUUCUGGGUGACGUAACUCACUAGCCUGGUCUACUUCUCUUCACACUGCAUCCACUUUCAGUGUUCAUUUUCAUCCAUUUAUUUAUUUGUUCCUUUCAUGAAAAUUGUUGAAUGUCCAAUAUGUUUACAUGUUUGUAUUACAACAUUGAAAAUUGCCAUGAUUGGAAGGGAGCAGAAUUGAAAAAUACAAUUCUUAUAGUUGUCUGCUCCCUUUUAAACAUUGCAUCAUAGUUACAUUUCCCACACCAUCACCUGUGCUCAGAUUUCACCAUAUGCAGUUCAGAUAAACACAGUAAAUACAUUCCAUUCAUUUAGUACAUACAUUCCAAACAUUUCAUUCAACAAUCAAGUUUGUACAAACUAAUUUGUUUUGCUUUACACAUCCGUUUAAAUUGAAUAAUAUUUUGACAACUUUUUAACUGAUUCUCCUGGGAAUGCCACAUUUUUACCCCUACUAUAGACAAACAUUUUUGCUUUAAUGUUUUUCCAGCAAUAUGUUGUUUAAAAUCACAUUUUCUCCUAUAAUUUUCAUCUCCUGUUGUAUAAAUUAAAAAGCUUUUGUAGGUCUUUA
This is a long non-coding RNA of Oryzias latipes (Japanese medaka), 2811 nucleotides long. RefSeq lists it as uncharacterized. The record is from RefSeq and is a predicted model, not a curated record. NCBI's taxonomy places the organism in Eukaryota, Metazoa, Chordata, Actinopteri, Beloniformes, Adrianichthyidae.